CCUACGGGAGGCAGCAGUGGGGAAUAUUGCACAAUGGGGGAAACCCUGAUGCAGCGACGCCGCGUGAGUGAAGAAGUAUUUCGGUAUGUAAAGCUCUAUCAGCAGGGAAGAAAAUGACGGUACCUGAUUAAGCAGCACCGGCUAACUACGUGCCAGCAGCCGCGGUCAUACGUAGGGGGCAAGCGUUAUCCGGAUUUACUGGGUGUAAAGGGAGCGUAGACGGCAGCACAAGUCUGGAGUGAAAUGCCGGGGCUUAACCCCGGAACUGCUUUGGAAACUGUGCAGCUAGAGUGCAGGAGAGGUAAGUGGAAUUCCUAGUGUAGCGGUGAAAUGCGUAGAGAUUAGGAGGAACACCAGUGGCGAAGGCGGCUUACUGGACUGUAACUGACGUUGAGGCUCGAAAGCGUGGGGAGCAAACAGGAUUAGAUACCCGUGUAGUC
Molecule: ribosomal RNA, 440 nt
Filed under: uncultured bacterium
Lineage: Bacteria
Description: partial 16S ribosomal RNA
Rfam family: Bacterial small subunit ribosomal RNA
Source: RNAcentral